RNAcentral lists this long non-coding RNA (672 nucleotides) under Ananas comosus (pineapple). RNAcentral describes it as "long non-coding RNA (ACOM_LNC027713)". The record is from RNAcentral. Lineage: Eukaryota; Viridiplantae; Streptophyta; Magnoliopsida; Poales; Bromeliaceae.
UUCCGACUUUAAUUAAUAUCUAAAUCUAUUUUAAUUAAUCUCUAAUAGAUUUAAAUAUUAAUCCUAAUCUAGUCAGAUUUAUCCUCUAAUUAAUAUUUAAAUCUUAAUUUAUCUCCAAUAGAUUUAAAUAUUAAUUAUUAUCCAAAUAGGAUUCAAUUACAAAUCUAACCAAAUCCUAACAGAAACCCUACUCUUGUUGGCUUGGUGGGUGCACUUUUAGAACAUUGAUGAAUAAUUUUUGAGAUUUUUUGAUAUCAUUUACUUAGUGAUCGAAAGCGUUCAAAAUCAAUAAUUUUUAAUGGUUGAUAUCUGCCGUUUUCAAGUUUAACGGUAUAGAAGUAUUCAAAUCAGAUAAAAUUUUAAUACAAAAUUCUUUAUACUAUCUAUAGCAAGAUCAAUAUUUCUGAUCGAAAAUUUUAGUGCUAUAUCACCGCUUUUUAUAGGAUUUUUAUUUUCAGCCGUUAAAAAUUAUUGAUUUUGAAUCCUUUUGAUUGCUAGAUAAAUGAUAUCAAAAAAUCGCAAAAAUUAUUUUCUAGAAACUUCAAAUACGCUAGAUUAAGUCUAACGGAGCCGAUCGUCGAUUCGGAAGUUCCAUCAUCAAAAACGGCUCAGGAGCACGGAGGCCUCCGUACUCCUGAGAGCACAGCAGUUCUGCUCUAUAUAUAUAUAUAU